Molecule: ribosomal RNA, 517 nt
Filed under: Salmonella enterica subsp. enterica
Lineage: Bacteria; Pseudomonadati; Pseudomonadota; Gammaproteobacteria; Enterobacterales; Enterobacteriaceae
Description: partial 23S ribosomal RNA
Rfam family: Bacterial large subunit ribosomal RNA
Source: RNAcentral
UGGAAGGGCCAUCGCUCAACGGAUAAAAGGUACUCCGGGGAUAACAGGCUGAUACCGCCCAAGAGUUCAUAUCGACGGCGGUGUUUGGCACCUCGAUGUCGGCUCAUCACAUCCUGGGGCUGAAGUAGGUCCCAAGGGUAUGGCUGUUCGCCAUUUAAAGUGGUACGCGAGCUGGGUUUAGAACGUCGUGAGACAGUUCGGUCCCUAUCUGCCGUGGGCGCUGGAGAACUGAGGGGGGCUGCUCCUAGUACGAGAGGACCGGAGUGGACGCAUCACUGGUGUUCGGGUUGUCAUGCCAAUGGCACUGCCCGGUAGCUAAAUGCGGAAGAGAUAAGUGCUGAAAGCAUCUAAGCACGAAACUUGCCCCGAGAUGAGUUCUCCCUGAGACUUAAAGUCUCCUGAAGGAACGUUGAAGACGACGACGUUGAUAGGCCGGGUGUGUAAGCGCAGCGAUGCGUUGAGCUAACCGGUACUAAUGAACCGUGAGGCUUAACCUUACAACGCCAAAGGUGUUUUG